AAGGCGAGGAUGCCGGAGGAUUACGACUCAGGACGAGGGGUCAGGAGCGCCAGGAGGCGAAGACCGGGAUUGUCAGGAUGACAAACGUCUGGAGACGUUUUAAAAGGGAAAGGGAAAGGGAUAGAAACAAGGACCGUUGGAAGCUAAGGGAAAGACAGGGUAAGUCGAUAGCUGACAUGGAAAGUGGAAACCCGUUAAGGGUUGUGAGUGCGGAAAAAGGCGACAGAUUAAUCUGUCGCCUUUUUUCUUUGCUUGCUU
Molecule: small RNA, 258 nt
Filed under: Klebsiella aerogenes
Lineage: Bacteria; Pseudomonadati; Pseudomonadota; Gammaproteobacteria; Enterobacterales; Enterobacteriaceae
Source: RNAcentral